Molecule: unclassified non-coding RNA, 286 nt
Filed under: Hevea brasiliensis (rubber tree)
Lineage: Eukaryota; Viridiplantae; Streptophyta; Magnoliopsida; Malpighiales; Euphorbiaceae
Source: RNAcentral
GGAUGUUGGCCAUCAGGCCUACCCACAUAAGAUUUUAACCGGCAGGAGAUCAAGAAUGCAUACGAUUCGCCAAACUUUUGGGCUUGCAGGGUUCCCCAAGAGAAAUGAAAGUGAAUAUGAUGCCUUUGGAGCUGGACAUAGUUCUACUAGCAUUUCAGCAGGCCUAGGAAUGGCAGUUGGUAGAGACUUGCUAGGGAAGAACAAUCAUGUAAUUUCGAUUAUCGGCGACGGUGCCAUGACUGCAGGAAUGGCUUUCGAGGCCAUGAACAAUGCAGGAUAUCUUGAU